This 263-nucleotide ribosomal RNA is filed under the name uncultured bacterium. RNAcentral's name for it is "partial 16S ribosomal RNA". It matches the Rfam family "Bacterial small subunit ribosomal RNA", at positions 336 to 616 of the family's 1533-position model. The record is from RNAcentral.
CUCCUACGGGACGCAGCAGUGGGGAAUUUUGCGCAAUGGGGGAAACCCUGACGCAGCAACGCCGCGUGCGGGACGAAGGCCCUCGGGUCGUAAACCGCUUUCAGCAGGGAAGACCACGACGGUACCUGCAGAAGAAGCUCCGGCUAACUACGUGCCAGCAGCCGCGGUAAUACGUAGUGGGCGAGCGUUAUCCGGAUUCAUUGGGCGUAAAGCGCGCGUAUGCGGCCGCCUAAGCGGAACCUCUCACCCCGUGGCUCAACCUC